This is a long non-coding RNA of Danaus plexippus (monarch butterfly), 247 nucleotides long. RefSeq lists it as uncharacterized. NCBI's taxonomy places the organism in Eukaryota, Metazoa, Arthropoda, Insecta, Lepidoptera, Nymphalidae. The transcript is spliced from 2 exons. The record is from RefSeq and is a predicted model, not a curated record.
UGACGCGAACAGUUAUCACAUGACUCAGGAUAAAAUAAUAAGAUUACAAAGGAUAUAUUCCAUUGAAUUGAAUCUAAACGAAAUAAAUUUAAAAUGCAAUGUAACAACUAACAACGGCAAUUUAAAAAUGGCGUCUCUCGUCUUCGUUUAAAUGUAGUUCCAAGUAAGUGAAGCAAACAAUUCAAAUAAGGGAUCACCUCGUAUGGAUAUAAAAUUUUUCGUUCCCACGUAAAUGUUUUUUUUUUUU